Molecule: ribosomal RNA, 404 nt
Filed under: uncultured bacterium
Lineage: Bacteria
Description: bacterial SSU rRNA
Rfam family: Bacterial small subunit ribosomal RNA
Source: RNAcentral
UAGGGAAUAUUGGUUAAUCUGCGAAAGCGGGAACCAGCAACGCCGCGUGCACGAUGAAGGCCUUCGGGUUUUAAAGUGCUUUUUGGGAGGAUGAGGAAGGACAGUACUCUUAGAAUAAGCUUCGGCUAACUACUUGCCACCAGCCGCGGUAAAACGUAGGAAGCGAGCGUUAUCCGGAUUUACUGGGCGUAAAGCGUGUGCAGGCGGUUUGAUAAGUUGGAUGUGAAAGCUCCUGGCUUAACUGGGAGAGGUCGUUCAAAACUAUCAGACUAGAGAGUGGUAGAGGGAGGUGGAAUUCCGGGUGUAGUGGUGAAAUGCGUAGAUAUCCGGAGGAACACCAGUGGCGAAAGCGGCCUCCUGGCCCAUUUCUGACGCUCAGACGCGAAAGCUAAGGUAGCAAACGG